This 523-nucleotide ribosomal RNA is filed under the name uncultured bacterium. Its description in RNAcentral is "bacterial SSU rRNA". It matches the Rfam family "Bacterial small subunit ribosomal RNA", at positions 8 to 526 of the family's 1533-position model. The record is from RNAcentral.
AGAGUUUGAUCAUGGCUCAGGAUGAACGCUAGCGGCAGGCCUAAUACAUGCAAGUCGAGGGGCAGCACAGGUAGCAAUACUGGGUGGCGACCGGCAAACAGGUGCGGAACACGUACGCAACCUUCCUUUAAGCGGGGAAUAGCCCAGAGAAAUUUGGAUUAAUACCCCAUAAGAAUGUGGAUUGGCAUCAGUCAGCAUUUAAAGAUUUAUCACUUAAAGAUGGGCGUGCGUCUGAUUAGGUAGUUGGUGAGGUAACGGCUCACCAAGCCGACGAUCAGUAACUGGCGUGAGAGCGCGACCAGUCACACGGGCACUGAGACACGGGCCCGACUCCUACGGGAGGCAGCAGUAAGGAAUAUUGGUCAAUGGACGGAAGUCUGAACCAGCCAUGCCGCGUGGAGGAUGAAGGCCCUCUGGGUUGUAAACUUCUUUUAUCUGGGACGAAACACUUCCUUUCUAGGGAGCUUGACGGUACCAGGUGAAUAAGCACCGGCUAACUCCGUGCCAGCAGCCGCGGUAAUAC